RNAcentral lists this unclassified non-coding RNA (1396 nucleotides) under Hevea brasiliensis (rubber tree). Lineage: Eukaryota; Viridiplantae; Streptophyta; Magnoliopsida; Malpighiales; Euphorbiaceae. The record is from RNAcentral.
GUGAAGUCAAGUUGUGCUAGCGUAAGGUUUAACCAGAGACUGGAUUUAUGGAAACCGAUGAGUCGGUUAUUGGCAGGCAAUCCCUUUGUCAGAAUUCUAUCAACCUCUGAAGGACCAGAACUCAUAGAUGCACGAGACGAUCAUUUGAACUCAGUGCUCUUGAGCUUUGGGAUUGCUGAACAAUGCACAAGGCAGGAGAAUAUUCUGAAGUACCUUAGAUCUGGAUCAAAUGAUGUAGAAAGCGGUGAAAUAGAUAUAGCUAUACUCUUUGAUCUCAUGGGACCACUGGUACAUGCGAUAAACAUGCAUCAACAACAAUUUCCUUCUUAUCUCGAACAACAAUCUCGUGAUGCUCAGCCAUCUCUUGUUUAUCCAAGUGCUGCGCUCCACCUAUGGGAACCUUCUUCAAAUUUGAUAGGACUCGAUUCAGGAAAAAUGAUUCAUUCUGAUGGUCGUCUAUUAGUUAGUGGUGUCACUGCUAGCAUUGAGAUGAAGGACAUACUUUCAAUUAUCUCCGAGUUCUACUUCUCAAAGGACUCAAUGAAAUGCACAAAGCAUGCAAUGGUGGUUCCGUACUUUGACAGGAAGACAUGCAAGACAAAGUCCAAAGGUGAAAGUUCUGCUCAGAAACUUGACGUGAAUGCAUCAUCUCUACGGAGUCCUCAGAAAACUAAGUACCAGACAUCACCUCAGAGAAAGAGCAACAAGAGAGCAGUUAAAGAGAGUGAGAUCUACAGGAACAAUUACCUCCAUGCAUGUGAAAGCCUUCUGUCCAUAAUAGUUGACAAGAAACGGCAUGGAAAAACUGCGAUACUUUCAUUGAAGAAAUCGGGUCCCCAACUACCAAAUUUUCUGACCACGUUCUCUGCUACCAUCGCUGGAACUGGCAUAGCCGUCCUUUUCUCAAUUGCCUGCAGACUAGCCUGUGGAAGAAUCGUGUUCUCUGCACCUAGACUAUUGAACACUGGUUUAGGCCUUGGACUUAUAUGGCUCUCUUGGGCUGUCAAUAAUUUGAGGGACACAGUUGUGGUGAUCAACAGAAGUUCAGGCAAGUUGGAUAUGAUAGAAGAUGACAUGAUGAAUAAUUUGGACAAAAAUGUGAAGGAAAUCUACUUCAGAGCAGCAACUUUGCUGGCAGUCGUAGUGCUGAGGCUUGCUUGAUUUCAAGAACACAAGAUUUAGAGAUUGUAAAAACAUGCACAGCUUGGGGGAUGAUAUCAAUAGCUCGUUUUGGGACAUUCAACUGUAAUAUAAUAUUUGAGCAGAAAGAACUGGAUUUUUUCACAGCACGAAACAUGUAGUGAGUAACAAAGUUUCAAGCCCUUUCUACUCGUCUAGUUUGUUUUGUAGCGGAGUCUUGUAUAAUGAUGUGAAUAACACUAGCACGAGAGUUUCU